RNAcentral lists this ribosomal RNA (497 nucleotides) under uncultured bacterium. RNAcentral's name for it is "partial 16S ribosomal RNA". It matches the Rfam family "Bacterial small subunit ribosomal RNA", at positions 28 to 507 of the family's 1533-position model. The record is from RNAcentral.
GAUGAACGCUGGCGGCGUGCCUAAUACAUGCAAGUCGAGCGAACAGACGAGGCUCUUGCUCCUCUGACGUUAGCGGCGGACGGGUGAGUAACACGUGUAUACCCUACCUAUAAGACUGGGAUCACUUCGGGAAACCGGAUCUAAUACCGGAUAAUAUAUUGAACCGCGUGGUUCAAUAGAGAAAGACGGUUUUGCUGUCACUAAUAGCUGUUUCCGGGCCGCAUGAGCUAGUUGGUAGGGUAACGGCUUACCAAGGCAACGAUGCGUAGCCGACCUGAGAGGGGGAUCGGCCACACUGGAACUGAGACACGGUCCAGAGUCCUACGGGAGGCAGCAGUAGGGAAUCGUGCGCAAUGGGGGAAAGCUUGAAGGAGCAACGCCGGGUGGGUGAAGAAGGUCUUCGGAUCGUAAAACUCUGUUAUUAGGGAAGAACGAAUGUGUAAGUAACUAUGCACGUCUUGACGGUACCUAAAAAGAAAGCCACGGCUAACUCCGUG